AACGAACGCUGGCGGCAUGCCUAACACAUGCAAGUCGAACGAGAUCUUCGGGUCUAGUGGCGCACGGGUGCGUAACGCGUGGGAAUCUGCCCUUUGGUUCGGAAUAACAGUUGGAAACGACUGCUAAUACCGGAUGAUGACGAAAGUCCAAAGAUUUAUCGCCAGAGGAUGAGCCCGCGUAGGAUUAGCUAGUUGGUGUGGUAAAGGCGCACCAAGGCGACGAUCCUUAGCUGGUCUGAGAGGAUGAUCAGCCAGACUGGGACUGAGACACGGCACAGGGUACUACGGAAGGUAGCAGGGGGGAAUAUUGGACAAUGGGCGAAAUCAUGAUCCAGCAAUGCCGCGUGAGUGAUGAAGGCCUUAGGGUUGUAAAGCUCGUUUACCCGGGAUGAUAAUGACAGUACCGGGAGAAUAAGCUCCGGCUAACUCCGUGCCAGCCGCUGCCGUAA
RNAcentral lists this ribosomal RNA (449 nucleotides) under uncultured bacterium. Its description in RNAcentral is "partial 16S ribosomal RNA". It matches the Rfam family "Bacterial small subunit ribosomal RNA", at positions 29 to 523 of the family's 1533-position model. The record is from RNAcentral.